RNAcentral lists this ribosomal RNA (468 nucleotides) under uncultured bacterium. Its description in RNAcentral is "partial 16S ribosomal RNA". It matches the Rfam family "Bacterial small subunit ribosomal RNA", at positions 28 to 507 of the family's 1533-position model. The record is from RNAcentral.
GACGAACGCUGGCGGCGUGCUUAACACAUGCAAGUCGAACGGAAAGGCCCUGCUUUUGUGGGGUGCUCGAGUGGCGAACGGUUGAGUAACACGUGAGUAACCUGCCCUUGACUUUGGGAUAACUUCAGGAAACUGGGGCUAAUACCGGAUAGGAGCUCCUGCUGCAUGGUGGUGGUUGGUAAGUUUCGGCGGUUGGGGAUGUUCUCGCGGCUUAUCAGCUUGUUGGUGGUGUAGUGGCUUACCAAGGCUUUGACGGGUAGCCGGCGUGAGAGGGUGAACGGAGAAAUAGGGACAGAGAUACGGGCCAGAGGACUAAGGGAGGCAGCAGUGGGGAAAAUGGCACAAUGGGCGGAAGCCUGAUGCAGCAACGCAGCGUGCGGGAUGACGGGCGUCGGGUUGUAAACAGCAUUCGCAUGUGACGAAGCGUGAGUGACGGUAAUGGGUAAAGAAGCACCGGCUAACUACGUG